This 406-nucleotide ribosomal RNA is filed under the name uncultured bacterium. RNAcentral's name for it is "partial 16S ribosomal RNA". It matches the Rfam family "Bacterial small subunit ribosomal RNA", at positions 29 to 526 of the family's 1533-position model. The record is from RNAcentral.
AUUGAACGCUGGCGGCAGGCCUAACACAUGCAAGUCGAACGAGUGGCGGACGGGCGAGGAAUGGCUGGGAAACUGCCUGAUGGAGGGGGAUAACUACUGGAAACGGUAGCUAAGAACGAACACCAUCAGAGGGGGGCAGAUGGGAUUAGCUCGUUGGUGGGGUAACGGCUCACCAGGGCGAAGAUACCUAGCUGGUCUGAGAGGAUGACCGGCCACACUGGAACGUAGCCACGGUCCAUACUCCUACGGGAGGCAGCAGUGGGGAAUAUUGCACAAUGGGCGCAAGCCUGAUGCAGCCAUGCCUCGUGUAUGAAGAAGGCCUUCGGGUUGUAAAGUACUUUCAGCGCGGAGGCGUUCCCCGCAGAAGAAGCACCGGCUAACUCCGUGCCAGCAGCCGCGGUCCUUC